Molecule: long non-coding RNA, 510 nt
Organism: Drosophila biarmipes
Lineage: Eukaryota; Metazoa; Arthropoda; Insecta; Diptera; Drosophilidae
Exons: 3
Source: RefSeq, a predicted model, not a curated record
UGCCGAUAAAUCAAAGUUCCCCAUUUGAAAUGCCAAGAGCCCACCGCGACAUCCUACAGCGGCGGCCACGAAAAUAGUGCAGGGAUCUCUCACUCACUUCGGAGGAAUAGGACGCCAAGCUACCCACUCAGUCAUCAAGUCGUGUUAUACCGAAGCCUAAUUGAAGAAUCCCCAAUUCCCUGGAAGGGUCUGCAGUACACGGUCGCUACCCGAUCCACUCGCCAUCGAAAGUUAUUGUAACCCGAUCCCGAGUCGCUGGAUGUACAUAAAUACCAGUUCCGCCGCUGCGGCCCGUGUUUAUACGAGUGUGGACUCGGAGAUGUCCGGGCCGACGUUUAUGAAAAGCCAUCGCAGCAUCAAAGCCAAUUAAGAUACCGGCCAUACGAGCUCUGAAGGAACUCGCGGCUAAUUUCUGCGACAAAGCCGACUAACGAUCGAGUCCAGUGCCCAGUGCCCAGUGUCCGAGGGAGAGCGGCACUUUUGUCGCAAACACAGGCCGUAAAAUUAAGA